GAUGAAGAACCCAGCAAAAUGCGAUAAGUAAUGUGAAUUGCAGAAUUCAGUGAAUCAUCGAAUCUUUGAACGCACAUUGCGCCCGCCAGUAUUCUGGCGGGCAUGCCUGUUCGAGCGUCAUUUCAACCCUCAAGCACAGCUUGGUGUUGGGACUCGCGUUAAUUCGCGUUCCCCAAAUUGAUUGGCGGUCACGUCGAGCUUCCAUAGCGUAGUAGUAAAACCCUCGUUACUGGUAAUCGUCGCGGCCACGCCGUUAAACCCCAACUUCUGAAUGUUGACCUCGGAUCAGGUAGGAAUACCCGCUGAACUUAAGCAUAUCAAUAAGCGGAGGA
This 332-nucleotide unclassified non-coding RNA is filed under the name soil metagenome. Its description in RNAcentral is "partial contains 5.8S ribosomal RNA, internal transcribed spacer 2, and large subunit ribosomal RNA". The stretch from base 1 to 120 matches the Rfam family "5.8S ribosomal RNA", at positions 35 to 154 of the family's 154-position model. The record is from RNAcentral.